AUGCAAGUCGAACGAGACUUUCCGUUGUAGCAAUACGAUGGAAAGUUUAGUGGCGAACGGGUGCUUAACACGUGGGCAACCUGCCAUGAAGUGGGGGAUAGCUCGCCGAAAGGCGAAUUAAUACCGCAUGUGAUUAGAAAGGACAUCCUUUCAAAAUUAAAGUCGGGGCAACCUGACGCUUCUUGUGGGGCCCGCGGCCUAUCAGCUAGUUGGUGAGGUAACGGCUCACCAAGGCUUUGACGGGUAGCUGGUCUGAGAGGACGACCAGCCACACUGGGACUGAGACACGGCCCAGACACCUACGGGUGGCAGCAGUCGAGAAUUUUUGACAAUGGGGGAAACCCUGAUCGAGCGACGCCGCGUGGAGGAUGAAGGUCUUCGGAUUGUAAACUCCUGUCAUUUGGGAACAAGGUGCACACGUUAACUGCGUGUGUAUUGAUAGUACCAGAAGAGGAAGAGACGGCUAACUCUGUGCCAGCAGCCGCGGUAAUACAGAGGUCUCAAGCGUUGUUCGGAUUCAUUGGGCGUAAAGGGUGCGUAGGCGGCGCGGUAAGUCGGGUGUGAAAUCUCGGAGCUUAACUCCGAA
This 586-nucleotide ribosomal RNA is filed under the name uncultured soil bacterium. RNAcentral describes it as "bacterial SSU rRNA". It matches the Rfam family "Bacterial small subunit ribosomal RNA", at positions 55 to 619 of the family's 1533-position model. The record is from RNAcentral.